RNAcentral lists this long non-coding RNA (630 nucleotides) under Cicer arietinum (chickpea). RNAcentral's name for it is "long non-coding RNA (CARI_LNC001602)". The record is from RNAcentral. Lineage: Eukaryota; Viridiplantae; Streptophyta; Magnoliopsida; Fabales; Fabaceae.
UGGUGGAGGAGAAUGAACUGGAGGGGGUGGGGAGUGUACAGGUGGAGGAGGUGAAUGAACUGGUGGUGGUGGAGAGUGAAUUGGUGGGGGUGGAGAAUGUACAGGGGGUGGUGGCGAGUGAACGGGUGGAGGAGGUGAAUGAACUGGUGGCGGUGGAGAGUGGACUGGAGGUGGUGGAGAUGAAACUGGUGGCGGUGGAGAGUGGACUGGAGGUGGUGGAGAAGAAACUGGUGGCGGUGGAGAGUGGACUGGAGGUGGAGGUGAGUGAACUGGAGGUGGUGGAGAGUGGACUGGAGGUGGAGGUGAGUGAACUGGAGGUGGUGGAGAAUGGACUGGUGGAGGAGGUGAGUGAACUGGAGGUGGUGGGGAAUUGACUGGUGGAGGAGGUGAGUGAACUGGAGGUGGUGGGGAAUUGACUGGCGGAGGAGGUGAGUGAACUGGAGGUGGUGGAGAAUUGACUGGCGGAGGAGGUGAGUGAACCGGUGGAGGAGGAGAGUUAACUGGUGGUGGUGGGGAAUUGACUCGUGGAGGAGGAGAGUUAACUGGUGGUGGUGGGGAAUGAACUGGUGGAGGAGGCGAGUGAACCAGUGGUGGUGGAGAGUGGACAGUUGGAGGCGGUGGGGAAUGAAC